This 450-nucleotide ribosomal RNA is filed under the name uncultured bacterium. RNAcentral's name for it is "partial 16S ribosomal RNA". It matches the Rfam family "Bacterial small subunit ribosomal RNA", at positions 354 to 796 of the family's 1533-position model. The record is from RNAcentral.
GUGGGGAAUUUUGGACAAUGGGCGCAAGCCUGAUCCAGCAAUGCCGCGUGCAGGAUGAAGGCCUUCGGGUUGUAAACUGCUUUUGUACGGAACGAAAAGCCCUGGGUUAAUACCCUGGGGUCAUGACGGUACCGUAAGAAUAAGCACCGGCUAACUACGUGCCAGCAGCCGCGGUAAUACGUAGGGUGCGAGCGUUAAUCGGAAUUACUGGGCGUAAAGCGUGCGCAGGCGGUUUUGUAAGACAGAGGUGAAAUCCCCGGGCUCAACCUGGGAACUGGCUUUGUGACUGCAAGGCUAGAGUACGGCAGAGGGGGAUGGAAUUCCGCGUGUAGCAGUGAAAUGCGUAGAUAUGCGGAGGAACACAGAUGGCGAAGGCAAUCCCCUGGGCCUGCACUGACGCUCAUGCACGAAAGCGUGGGGAGCAAACAGGAUUAGAAACCCGUGUAGUCC